RNAcentral lists this ribosomal RNA (465 nucleotides) under Vreelandella stevensii. Its description in RNAcentral is "partial 16S ribosomal RNA". It matches the Rfam family "Bacterial small subunit ribosomal RNA", at positions 338 to 795 of the family's 1533-position model. The record is from RNAcentral. Lineage: Bacteria; Pseudomonadati; Pseudomonadota; Gammaproteobacteria; Oceanospirillales; Halomonadaceae.
CCUACGGGUGGCAGCAGUGGGGAAUAUUGGACAAUGGGGGGAACCCUGAUCCAGCCAUGCCGCGUGUGUGAAGAAGGCCCUCGGGUUGUAAAGCACUUUCAGUGAGGAAGAACGCCUGGUGGUUAAUACCCAUCAGGAAAGACAUCACUCACAGAAGAAGCACCGGCUAACUCCGUGCCAGCAGCCGCGGUAAUACGGAGGGUGCGAGCGUUAAUCGGAAUUACUGGGCGUAAAGCGCGCGUAGGUGGCUUGAUAAGCCGGUUGUGAAAGCCCCGGGCUCAACCUGGGAACGGCAUCCGGAACUGUCAAGCUAGAGUGCAGGAGAGGAAGGUAGAAUUCCCGGUGUAGCGGUAAAAUGCGUAGAGAUCGGGAGGAAUACCAGUGGCGAAGGCGGCCUUCUGGACUGACACUGACACUGAGGUGCGAAAGCGUGGGUAGCAAACAGGAUUAGAUACCCUAGUAGUC